AGGCUACUUCCUGCGCGGCAGCGAAGGCGCCCGUCCAGCCGCCGUGUCGCCGCCAGAGCCCAGAAACCCACACAGGGCCCCCCACCACAACCGCAAACCAGCUGAGGGGCGGGCGGAUGGGGCCGGCGCACCCUCUACCGCACGCCUCCCAGCCCAGCCCCUGGGGUCCCCACGCACGUGACGGGGCAAUAUGACCCAAGUCCCACGCAGGACUGGGACACCGAGCCAGACGACGACCAGGGCACCCAAGCUGGCCCAGACACUGGAGGACACGUGGGGGGCCCACAGUGUUGGGCAGAGACUCCAUGGUGCUGGAGAAGAUUCUUGAGUGUCCCUUGGACUGCAAGGAAAUCAAACCAGUCAAUCCUAAAGGAAAUCAACCCUGAAUAUUCAUCGGAAGGGCUGAAGUUGAAGCUGAAGAUCCAAUACUUUGGCCACCUGAUGCGAAGAACUGACUCAUUGGAAAAGACCCUGAUGCUGGGAAAGAUUGACAGCAGGAGGAGAAGGGAGCAACAGAGGAUGAGACAGUUGGAUGUCAGCACCGAUUCAAUGGACAUGAGUUUGAGCAAACUCUGGGAGAUGGUGAAGGAGGACAGGGAAGCCUGGCGUGCUGCUGUCCAUGGGGUCGCAAAGAGUCAGACAUGACUUCGCAAGUAAACAAUAUCUGGACCAAAAAUUUUCUAUUGUACCUGAGUCUGUUCCUUCUACAUGGCUUUGACUCCCAUACAGUUCUUCCCCACAAGGCUCCCAUCAACUGCAAAGGGAAGAUGAGUGAGUUCCUGGCGGGGGACACUAGCAGGCACCACCCAAACCCAGUCAUCCCAGUGGACGCCAG
Molecule: long non-coding RNA, 835 nt
Organism: Bos taurus (domestic cattle)
Lineage: Eukaryota; Metazoa; Chordata; Mammalia; Artiodactyla; Bovidae
Source: Ensembl